UACGAAGGGGGCUAGCGUUGUUCGGAUUUACUGGGCGUAAAGCGCACGUAGGCGGAUCGUUAAGUCGGGGGUGAAAUCCUGGAGCUCAACUCCAGAACUGCCUUCGAUACUGGCGAUCUCGAGUUCGGGAGAGGUGAGUGGAACUGCGAGUGUAGAGGUGAAAUUCGUAGAUAUUCGCAAGAACACCAGUGGCGAAGGCGGCUCACUGGCCCGAUACUGACGCUGAGGUGCGAAAGCGUGGGGAGCAAACAGG
This 253-nucleotide ribosomal RNA is filed under the name uncultured bacterium. RNAcentral describes it as "partial 16S ribosomal RNA". It matches the Rfam family "Bacterial small subunit ribosomal RNA", at positions 524 to 776 of the family's 1533-position model. The record is from RNAcentral.